UGGUGAUGGAACUCGCUUCCUGAGCUGACGACAGCCGCAGAAACCAGGCCGCUGCAACUGUUUAUUAAAAACAUAGCACUCUGCAAACACGAAAGUGGACGUAUAGGGUGUGAUGCCUGCCCGGUGCUGGAAGGUUAAUUGAUGGGGUUAGCGUAAGCGAAGCUCUUGAUCGAAGCCCCAGUAAACGGCGGCCGUAACUAUAACGGUCCUAAGGUAGCGAAAUUCCUUGUCGGGUAAGUUCCGACCUGCACGAAUGGCAUAAUGAUGGCGGCGCUGUCUCCAGCAGAGGCUCAGUGAAAUCGAAAUCGCUGUGAAGAUGCAGUGUACCCGCGGCUAGACGGAAAGACCCCGUGAACCUUUACUGCAGCUUGACACUGAACUUUGACCUUACUUGUGUAGGAUAGGUGGGAGGCUUUGAAGCUGGAACGCUAGUUCCAGUGGAGCCGUCCUUGAAAUACCACCCUGGUAAUGUUGAGGUUCUAACUCUGUCCCGUGAUCCGGGACGAGGACCGUGUCUGGUGGGUAGUUUGACUGGGGCGGUCUCCUCCUAAAGAGUAACGGAGGAGUACGAAGGUGCGCUCAGCGUGGUCGGAAAUCACGCGUAGAGUAUAAAGGCAAAAGCGCGCUUAACUGCGAGACCCACAAGUCGAGCAGGUACGAAAGUAGGUCUUAGUGAUCCGGUGGUUCUGUAUGGAAGGGCCAUCGCUCAACGGAUAAAAGGUACUCUGGGGAUAACAGGCUGAUACCGCCCAAGAGUUCAUAUCGACGGCGGUGUUUGGCACCUCGAUGUCGGCUCAUCUCAUCCUGGGGCUGAAGCAGGUCCCAAGGGUAUGGCUGUUCGCCAUUUAAAGAGGUACGCGAGCUGGGUUUAGAACGUCGUGAGACAGUUCGGUCCCUAUCUACCGUGGGCGCUGGAAAUUUGAGAGGAUCUGCUCCUAGUACGAGAGGACCAGAGUGGACGAACCUCUGGUGUACCGGUUGUGACGCCAGUCGCAUCGCCGGGUAGCUAUGUUCGGAAGGGAUAACCGCUGAAAGCAUCUAAGCGGGAAGCCUACCUCAAGAUAAGAUUUCCCUAGGACUUUAUGUCCUCUAAAGAGCCGUUCGAGACUAGGACGUUGAUAGGUUGGAUGUGGAAGCAUAGUGAUAUGUGAAGCUGACCAAUACUAAUUGCUCGUGAGGCUUGACUAU
Molecule: ribosomal RNA, 1188 nt
Filed under: Acinetobacter baumannii
Lineage: Bacteria; Pseudomonadati; Pseudomonadota; Gammaproteobacteria; Moraxellales; Moraxellaceae
Description: partial 23S ribosomal RNA
Rfam family: Bacterial large subunit ribosomal RNA
Source: RNAcentral